This 301-nucleotide ribosomal RNA is filed under the name uncultured bacterium. RNAcentral describes it as "partial 16S ribosomal RNA". It matches the Rfam family "Bacterial small subunit ribosomal RNA", at positions 509 to 808 of the family's 1533-position model. The record is from RNAcentral.
CAGCCGCCGCGGUAAAACGAGGGGGGCAAGCGUUGUUCGGAAUUAUUGGGCGUAAAGGGUGCGUAGGCGGUUUGAUAAGUCAUCUGUGAAAUCUCUGGGCUCAACCCAGAGUCUGCAGGCGAAACUGUCGGGCUUGAGUAUGGGAGAGGUGAGUGGAAUUUCCGGUGUAGCGGUGAAAUGCGUAGAUAUCGGAAGGAACACCUGUGGCGAAAGCGGCUCACUGGACAAUAACUGACGCUGAUGCACGAAAGCUAGGGGAGCAAACAGGAUUAGAGACCCCUGUAGUACCUGUCUCUUAUAC